CUUUUCCUCAACACAACUGCUAGAAGAAAGUCAAGUUUUGCAAGCGCUCCUAAAAAUUAAAAUACUCUGAAAUGAUUGUCUACGAGGUAAAUAGCCUGGCAAUGGCGGCUACUUGGAAAAUGGAUGCAAAAAAUGAAUUCAAUUUCGCUGAAAUUACAUGAAAAACCUACCACACGUGUUGCCGGCAUGAGUUAGAACUUAAUUUCCACGUGUUGAUACCUUGGCUUGUUUUCGAUGUUUUCCGCAUGGUAAGCUAAAAUUUUUUGUAAAAUUUAAUUUAUUAGAAACAGUAUGAUGAACAACCUAUUUUAACAGUUAUCCCUGUCAUAAAAAAAUAAUUG
Drosophila navojoa is the source of this 341-nucleotide long non-coding RNA. NCBI's taxonomy places the organism in Eukaryota, Metazoa, Arthropoda, Insecta, Diptera, Drosophilidae. The record is from RefSeq and is a predicted model, not a curated record.